Molecule: small RNA, 1783 nt
Filed under: Oryza sativa Japonica Group (Japanese rice)
Lineage: Eukaryota; Viridiplantae; Streptophyta; Magnoliopsida; Poales; Poaceae
Description: sRNA Os01g0667725
Source: RNAcentral
AGAAAAUGAUCAAUGUUAUGGCUGUACAGUUUAGGAAGCUGAGUUACUCCCGGAUCACAACAAAGUGAGCAACAAAUACAGGUAGCAGAAUGGUCUACCGUUUCUUAUAUACAAAAUUGAGCUGAAUAUUUGUCGGAAGUAAAUAACUAAUAAGAUUAUUCCUGUUCGUUAUCCACUUCUUCUUCCGGUUGACAAAGCUGUCGUCUUGCAGAUGGGGCAUAAAUUCUUUACCAUCAACCAUUGUUUUAUGCAAUCUUCGUGGUACCUGUGGCCACAGUCAAGGGUUCCAAUGCAUUCUUUAACCUGAUACUCUUCCUGCAAUACCAAGAAAAGAUUUUUAGAACAAGGAUAUGUCGAUUUGACUAGACUAAAUGUUGCUAGUCUUCAAUUUCUCUACAAUGUAGCUUUUUGCCAGACCAGUAUUUACAUCUCCAAUCUGCUCUUCUAAUGCUAAAAGCUCCUCAUAUGUCAUGCUGUCUAUAUCUAGCCGCAUAUCUCUAUGCUCAUCUACAACAUUUGACACUUCAUACAAUCUUGAAAAAUCCAUUAUUGUAGCAUGCUGCAGCACCGAAGAAAAAAUAUAUCAAUUUUGAGUGUGUGAUAUAGAAUUGAAGAGCAAGGUGUUUAACGUGACCUACAUUCUACUGCAAUAUGAACAGCCUGAACCAAGGGCAAAUAUGUGGCAGGAUUCGUAUAUUUCUGUGGUUCACUGGAUUUGCCAAGAGUGGAUGAUGUGGAGGCCCAAAAGUACGUUCAGAAUUAGAGAAAAGAACUGGAAUCCUUGGACCCAAAUGGAACCGGUUGCCAGAAUGAUUUACACCAUGUAAGACAGGAUUAUUGUGGCAUUGUUGGUAAGGAGCUUGCACUUGUGUAUGAUCAAGCAGAUUAUGAGCAUGCAUGCCAGCAUGCUGAUGAAAAUAGGGUAAAGGCCCUCGACAUAAGGUUGAAGGGCCAUUCUGAUAUUCACGGAAGCUUCCAUUCACUGUUUCUGAUCAAACGAAAAGUUACCUGGAGCAUUAUUCAUUCCAUUGACAUAUUCCCACUGUGGUAUUCCAUCAGCAAUACCAUUUGCAGACUGGGAAAUCCAUGUAUUGCUAGUAGGUUGAAAGCACUGGCUGAUGUGACUAGUUGGAAAUGCAUAAUUACCAUGCUGUGCUGAUUCUGGAUGGCCAACUGGUCUGGCUAUGGUACUCUGAUGGGUUAUAUGAUGCAGUGUUAGGCAAAACAUUUGACUCAAAAGAAGGAUCCCAUGGCCUAUGUGUAGGAUUCAGAGAUGCAUGAGAAGAGCUUGAACUUGCAAAUCCAUUAGCACAGUGGUAACUUCCUGCAACUGCAGCAUUUUUCCUUUUAAUGAAUCCUCUAGCACUUUCACCAGCAUUUUCAUUUCUGCUACCUUCAUCCAUGCUUCCUAGAACAACUUGGUUUGAUGGCAAUCCGAAGCUCUGAGUGUGAGAAACAUAUUGGUUCAUAGAUGUUGUCGACAUGCAGGGGUUGUACAUACUGGAUGGGAAGACAAAACCUGAAUCAACUCCUAAAUUUGGAGGCAAGUUAUGAACAGGUUGAUGUGGAUGGUUCAUGCCCGCAUCAUAGUAACUUCGCAUAUCAGAUAGACCAAUGUUUGUAGCAUUUCCUACCCCUCUGACAGCAUGUUGUGCACCUUGGUCAGAUGAAUCAUUCCCAGUGCGAUUAAAACUUUCAGAAUGAAUAUGAGAGUGCCCUUGUUCAGUUUCUAGAUCAAUUACUUGGGGAGUGCAUACCGUAUUUCUAUAUGCCAUAACGCCAA